AGCUUUGCACAUUGGCAGUAUCAUAGCCAAUGAGGUUUAUCUGUGGCACGAUUAUUGCUAAUUUUAACAAAACUGUACCUGAUACU
RNAcentral lists this small nuclear RNA (86 nucleotides) under Myotis brandtii (Brandt's bat). RNAcentral's name for it is "U4 spliceosomal RNA". It matches the Rfam family "U4 spliceosomal RNA", at positions 1 to 82 of the family's 138-position model. From Rfam's summary of the family: U4 small nuclear RNA (U4 snRNA) is a component of the major U2-dependent spliceosome. Lineage: Eukaryota; Metazoa; Chordata; Mammalia; Chiroptera; Vespertilionidae. The record is from Rfam by way of RNAcentral.